Long non-coding RNA from Cercocebus atys (sooty mangabey), 5177 nucleotides. RefSeq lists it as uncharacterized. The transcript has 3 exons. Lineage: Eukaryota; Metazoa; Chordata; Mammalia; Primates; Cercopithecidae. The record is from RefSeq and is a predicted model, not a curated record.
UGCGCCCCUUUAAAAAAAUCCUUUAAAUUUUCAUUACCAUAUUUCAGCUAGGACAAAAUGCUGCUUUUUCAGAAGCACAGCCAUUGCUCUUUCAGUUUGGUCUGGCUGGCAAAAAGGUGGCCUUGCUAUGUAAAUUAUGCCCCUUUAGUAGUCAAAAUAAAAAAAUCUUUCCUCUUUUUUUUUCUUUUGCUGACCAUUUUCUUCCUCCUUCAGAGGCCUUGUUCUCCACAAUUUAGAGUUCCUCUUCAGAUUUGACCAAGUCAGAACGUGUGUCAGACCCACAAUGUAUAGCUUGCAGACCUAGCUUUUCAGGGACCAUUACCCCUUGAACGAGUUCAGUCCACCUGUGUCGCAGCUACCUGGCACAGUGUGUCAGGGGCUCAAGGUAUGGGAAGGGUCAGCUCCUGAUAUGCUCCUGCCAGCUGAGAUUAGAUCCUAAGUAUAUUCUUCUGAGGGGGAAACUUUUUUAGAGCCACUGCACAUCUUAAGGAGCAUUCCUCCCAGGCACAUUCACAUAAUUCUCAGUUGCCUGAGAAUGCCCUGAAAGGCUGAGGGGAGCAAGGUGCUCUUAUUUCUUUGGAGUGGAGGAUUCUACAUUCAUGAGUUAGAGGGUCUGGAGGAUUCCACGCUCAUGAACUAGAGGGUUGGUCAAAUUUGAUAGGGGAAAGGACGAACACACACACACUAAAGAAACCCAAUAAGACAGAAACAAACAAAAAAACAGUUAAGCAAAACUAACAAUGAUCACACAAAUUAUACAAUUUCUGAGUGUCAAAGAUGACAAAUUCCUCUUCAAAAGGUUUUAGUUUCCUGUUCCUCUGGUUGUUUGUUUCUCUACUUUCUAUAGUUACCCAUGCUGAGAGUUGUAAACAACUCUUCCCGCCCUUGCCACACCCUGACAUGCCCUGACAAGCCUAGACAUGCCUUGCACCAUAAUGGAUAGCCUUCCCCUUCCAGCCUAGAUAGCUGUGUUCAAUUUCAAACAUUAGCCAAUCGGGUCAGUUUAGACUGUGGGGUCCAACCCACAGGAGAAAGGACACAGGAGUAGGAACAUAUUGCAUUAGGGAUAAAAACCCCUGCCCUACCCCACCUGGUGUGCUCUUGCAAUCAUGACUGGCGCAAGCUGCAUCCUUCUGUAGAAGUAAAUUUGCCGUGCUGAGAAAAUUUCUAUUUAAGUCCUAUUUCUUCUGCAUCACCGAAACUUGUUUCUAACAAAUUUAGGGGCCCAUUUGGGAUACCUAUUCUUCUCUGGGGAAGGGUCCAGUCCUCUCCCAUGAGGAGCCAUGCCCCACUGCCUCAUUGCGGUGGCCUUGGGGGUAAGGAGUCAAGACCCAACCAGUGUGACAAAUAAAUCCAGACUCUCAGCAACACAAGAAGAAACAGAGCAACAACUUGGGGGGAAAAGAUCAUCACAUGCCAUGGUGACCAGCCAACUCUGUGCACAGAACAAGGAACCAAUCCUUAAACCCUCAGUUUUCUGACCAAACUUUGGGUCAAAUGAGGAUUGGAUUUGUCAGCUUCUAAUAGAACAUGUUAAUGACAAGAGUCCAGUUUCCCAAGAAGAGAUAGAUUAUGCCUUGUGUUGGUGACAAGGACCUGUUCUUCUCUACUCCCUAAAACCUCAAAAAGACGCCCAAGAAGAACAACAGAGCCAAGAUACGCUGAGGUGUUUUGAAGAGGAAAAACUAUAAAAUCAAGAGGAGGAAACUGUGAGAGAUGAUCAAUUCCUCUUCAAAAGGUCUUAAUUCCCUGUUCUUGUAGUUCUUUCUCUAGUUUCUAUAGCUACCCAUGUGGUAAAUAAUCCUUCCCACCCUUCCCACACCCUGACAUACCCUGACAAGCCUAGACAUGCCUUGCACCAUAAUGGAUAGCCUUCCCCUUCCCAUCUAGAUAGCUGUGUUCAAUUUCAAACAUUAGCCAAUCCAGUCAGUUUAGACUGUUCAGUCCAACUCCAGCCAAUGGAGAAAGGACACAGCAGUAGGAACCAACUACAUUAGGGAUUAAAAAACCCCUGUCCUGCUGCAGGUGUUCAUCCCACAGACCCUGACCCAAAAACAGAUUAAUAACAUACCCUGACACAGGUAUUAUGCUUGUCAGUCCAGCUGACAGUCCAGCCCACUUACAGACUCCCAGGAGAGUGCUGUAAAGAUUUGCAACCAUGGCCCUGACUCACUGGCCCUCCCGGCAUUUAUACACCACAUAUUAAAUGACAAAAGUCUCAAGUAAACACCACUAGAAGGUAAUUACUGUUGCCGACCCUCCAUCCCCCACAGUAGAGAGCAAUCAUGCACCUGCAGAUGGUCAAAGGUUUGUCUUAGGACUGAUGGUCAAAGGUUUGUCUUAGGACCACAUGAAUAAACAAGCUAUUUGGAUAGAGUCCUCUACAUUCCUAUGUUAAUUACACUUGCUAUAGCUCAAAGAGGAUUAGGCUGCCUUCAGCCCUAACUCUAUCCUGAGGCUUUUGCAAAAACCUUCCAGCUUUCCAAGAAGGUUUGUGUUUAUUUUACAAUCUUUCCCAUCAUCCUGACUGAUACCCUACAUCUCCCCCUUUUCUAUUUUCUGUAUCUUAUUGAUUGGAGAGUGCAGAUAUAUGCAGCAACAGGUUUGUCAGGUGUGGUGGUCAUUGCUCUUACUCCGGCUUUGCAUCCUAGAAUUAGUAAAUAACAUAAGACCAUCAUGAGUAUAAUUAGCAACAUUCUUUUCCAGUCAGAGAGUGACCCCCAGGAGUGGGUGUCAAACCAGUAGAGAUGAUCUUGCACACCCUUCAGUAUGGCUGUUUGUUAGGUGUGUAGAUCUAAAGUGUGAAGGGAUUCUAAAAUUUUAGUUUUAAGUUGCUUUACAUCUGCUGUUAAAUUGUUAUGAAAGGUUCCCCAGAGAUGUUGUUUCACCUCAUCCCAACUAUGUGUUGAUUGAUUUCCAUGGUAGAGAAGUGACACAGAUACGUUCAUGCUCCCAGCUGCAGUUUAAUCGCUGUUGGAAUGCCAGUGCAUCUUGUUGCUCCCCCACGUAUUCCAAAGCAGCCUUGAGGGAUUGCAGACACGCAAGAAUUUUUAAAUCUAUACCCUGCUGUAAGAGAAGUUCAUUAGACACAUUUUUGGCCAGAUUAUCUACAAAGACAUCUGUUUGUACUGAUUCAGUAAUAGAUGCCACAGCAACAACAGCAGUUGCCAGGAUGACUGUGGCUGAGACUGUAAAGGCCAUAAAUGUAACCAUGAAUCUUUUGUGUCUGAAUUGGGACAAGUCACGUUCUAAGGUGGCAAGGGCAGAGGAACCCUGCCAAGCGCAUUUCAAAUUGACUGGUAGGAAUGUCUCAGAUUGUCUCCUUAAUACCAUGACACUAGUAAUAUUUAGAUUGGAUAUAUUGUAAUUAGUGAUACAUGAGGCAAACCAAGCCUGUCCCUGCACCUGGGUCACAAACGUCGAGUUUUGGAGUGUAAUAGAAAUAUAGGUUCCCAUAAGGAAAACAUAUGGAUGGGUAGUGCAAAUCAGGCACUGAUCAGUGUGAUUAUGAAUAAAGGUUAUAGUAUAGUUGUUACUGGAAUUAUGAUAUGUUCCAUGCCAGGUGUCAAGGGAGGUGCCAAGAUGUCCCAGGCAUCAUAAAGUGUCUUGGAUUUUACUUGGCAUCUGGGAUAUCCCAUCCCCAAAUUGGCCCAAAUCAUAGGGGAACAGGACGUGACUAUGAAACUGUGAUUGAUGCCAUGACAGAUGAGGACAUUAGUAAGGCUGCCCUGCAAAUGGCCAUGGGGGCUCCAGUCUAAGAUGCUAUAAUUGCCUAACUGGAGGCUAUGUGCUUGUCCCCCAUGACAGACCUCCCAGCUAAAGUGAAAUCCAUUACUUUCCUGGCUUUUUCCUUUAGCACAGGAAGGAACGUUUGGGAAAGUGGCAUUGAUUGCAUUACCUGGUUUGAGGCUACCUGCAGCUAAGGCUGUUAAGGCAUUUCCUUUGCCAUGAUGUAGCCAAAAAUUGUGUUUGGGCAGAUACAUAGUAAGGGUUAGAACUUUUAUAGCUUACACACAGUGGGAGGAUAGUGGAGUGAUAUGUAGUGUUAUCUGGCACCUUAGUCCAAUGUGUGCCAUUAUUGAGGGAUCCCAAUGGGGGACUUUAUCCCUCCCAGACAAGCAGUCAUGUUAUUAUAGGCUGAGAAGGGGGUGUCUGCCCAGGUGACAGGGCAAAAGAAAGGUGGAUCUAAGAUAUGAGCCCAAUAGAGUGUAGCAGGUACAGGUUGCAGAUAAAGAGAGAGCAUAAAAAGGAUCAAUACCCUACCUGAGUUGCAAUGUACAACAGAAAGCAUAGCAAGGAACAAAUUAUCUAGAGUAAAUGGUGUCUGUGUCUGGAGCACAAUUCAUUCAGCCUCCUGAGUUGUCCUCUUCAGCAUCUCCCAGGUAAUGUCCGAGGCUUGUGUGGUCUGCAGAAGCCACAUUGUCUGGGGCUGCGGGUCCUGUGGGGUCUGUUCCUUCAUCUCUGGUACCAGGUUGGGUCCUAGCCAUGCCACUGAGUGGUGACAAUAUACUAGCAGCCCUCACUCUCGGCACCUCCUCGGCCUCGGCAUCCACUCUGGUGGCACUUGAGGAGCCCUUCAGCCUGCCACGGCACUGUGGGAGCCCCUCUCUGGGCUGGCCGAGGCCAGAACUGCCUCCCUCUGCUUGUGGUGAUGUGUGAAGGGAGAGGCAUGGGCGGGAACUGGGGCUGCACGUGGUGCUUGUGGGCCAGCGUGAGUUCUGGCAGGUGCGGGAGUGGGCUUGGCGGGCCCCACACACAGAGUGGCCGGCUGGCGUCACUGGCCCAGGGCAGUGAGGGGCUUAGCACCCAGGCCAUCAGCUGUGGAGGUUGCACCAGGUACCCCAGCACUACCAGCCCACAUGCACAGUGCUUGAAUUCUCGCAGGGCCUCAGUUGCCUCCCCGGGGGUCAGGGCUCAGGACCUGCAGCCUGCCAUGUCUGAGCCCCAUCCACCGCGGUGGGCUCCUGCGUGGCCCAAGCCUCCCUGAUGAGCGCCGUCCCCUGCUCUGCGGUGCCCGGUCUUAUCAACUGCCCAAGGUCUGAGAAGUGCGGGCACAUGGCGCAGGACUGGUGGGCAGCUUGGCCUGCAGCCCAGUGCGGGAUACACUAGGUGAAGCCAGCUUAGCUCCUGAGUCUAGUAGGGACUUGGAGAACCUUUAUGUCUAGCUAAGGGAUUGU